Long non-coding RNA from Bufo bufo (common toad), 151 nucleotides. RefSeq lists it as uncharacterized. The record is from RefSeq and is a predicted model, not a curated record. NCBI's taxonomy places the organism in Eukaryota, Metazoa, Chordata, Amphibia, Anura, Bufonidae. The transcript is spliced from 3 exons.
ACAAGGUUCCAAGAGUAAGAUCUGAUACAGAAAGAUCCUGCGAGUUGGUGAUUGGGGGAAUCCCGCUGUGGGUCACUUUAGAUUCCCGCCAACGUGUGUCCUGGGUUAAGCCCGAAGUACUGGACUUUCUAAAGAGGGGGCCAGAGACAGA